This is a long non-coding RNA of Diuraphis noxia (Russian wheat aphid), 945 nucleotides long. NCBI's taxonomy places the organism in Eukaryota, Metazoa, Arthropoda, Insecta, Hemiptera, Aphididae. The record is from RefSeq and is a predicted model, not a curated record.
AAAAAAUCUGUGGAUAUAUUAUAUGAUAUUUUAUUGGUGGUCCAUCGCCCACAGUGAAUAUCGUGAAAUAUUGAGAUGACGUGUGAUUCCAAUACAAUAGUAUUAUUAUAUAAUGACUUGACUUGCACCAAGUCGCCGAUGGAAUACUUAGCGACGAUGACGACAAAUGACAAUAUUAUUUCUCCGAAAAUAACUGCAGCAUGCGUGAUUCACUCCACCAGGCCGCGGCGGCGACGUAAUCGUCAAUGUGGGAAUGCGAUCAAAAAUCCGUUUCGGUCGCGUACACAGCUGCAUCGCGGACGAAGGAUUUAAUAAAUAAAUGUCGUCCGCCAACUACAGAGACGUAACAUUAUAUACCUUGGCUACGAGCAAUAUUAGCCGCAGUACUGCAGAAGAUCUGACGAAGACGCGAGUCAAAAGACGAUUCGUUCAGACUUUGUAAGUCUAACGAAUUUCGUCCAAAUAAUUUACAAAGACUAAAUUAAAACUGGAAGAAACCAUCACACAAAAAUAACGAUUAAACUUAUUGUUAGUUGGACCAAUGUCAGUCAAAGCUCAAACCAAUAAACCAGCAAUAUCAUUGGGUGCUGCCAUCUGCGUGGUACGUCAUGAGCAAAACGAGGACAUCGCCAUCUCUUGAAAUCUGAUUAUUCGAUGAUAACAACUGAUGCUGCAAAUGUAUAAACGCAGAAUCUUAAAUUACUUGAUUAUCCGUUAAAAUGUUUGUAAUUAUUAUUAUAUUAUUUAUCAUAACACAAAAUCGUUUCUUGAUAAUAUAUAAAAAUUACUGACCAUCUGAAUCGACUGAAUCACGUUUGGUUAAAAUAAAUUACUCAACUUGCGAGUAAAUUUGAAAAUAUUAUUAAUUAUUUGGUGCUUAUAAUAUUAACUGCAACUUAAAAAUAUAUAUCGAACAUGUGUUGAUUUAAACAUGUAACACUUGCG